AAGAGCCGUACGAGGCAGCUCACGUACGGUUCGGGAGCCGAGCCCGGCACAGGGGCUUAGGUCAAC
Molecule: small RNA, 66 nt
Filed under: Salix viminalis (osier)
Lineage: Eukaryota; Viridiplantae; Streptophyta; Magnoliopsida; Malpighiales; Salicaceae
Source: RNAcentral